Molecule: transfer RNA, 72 nt
Filed under: Bos taurus (domestic cattle)
Lineage: Eukaryota; Metazoa; Chordata; Mammalia; Artiodactyla; Bovidae
Also listed under: 1 other name
Rfam family: tRNA
About the family: Transfer RNA (tRNA) molecules are approximately 80 nucleotides in length. Their secondary structure includes four short double-helical elements and three loops (D, anti-codon, and T loops).
Source: Rfam by way of RNAcentral
UCCCCGAUGGACUAGUGGCUAAGAUUCUGUACUCCCAUGCAGGGAGCCUGGGUUCAAUUCCUAGUCAGGGAA